GGGUGCAAGAAGAUUGAUAAUCAUGUUGGUGGUAGAAUAUGAUUCGUCAAACAGAAAUAAUAAAGAUUAUUAAGGGAUUUAAAACUAAGAAAGUCUACGUGGAACGUUUUACUGGUUUUGGCCAUGUUUAUUUUUAUUUUUAUUUUUUUUCGCACUUCCCAACCAAGUUAGGUUACCAAUAUUGUACAAAUUAAUAUAAGCGUGGCUGCGUAGAAGAAGUGGAGAAAGUCACAAUUUGGUUAAAAUCGCUAUUACUAGUUAAUUCGGUUUACUUUCUUAUAAAUAUGUUAAAAAUACAUACUGUAUAUAGAACUGAACCCAAGCUAGCAACCCAAAAAUCAGUUUUCUACUAAACAACUGAUAUGGUCACAGCAACAGAAUCGUCAAGGCAUCAAUAAGUAAG
This 403-nucleotide long non-coding RNA is filed under the name Capsella rubella. RNAcentral describes it as "long non-coding RNA (CRUB_LNC001225)". Lineage: Eukaryota; Viridiplantae; Streptophyta; Magnoliopsida; Brassicales; Brassicaceae. The record is from RNAcentral.